GAUCAGGAGCAACUCAGCAACUGUUCCAGCACUGUGCCUGCUGGCUUCCUGCUGUGAUGAUCAUGAACUAACCCUCUAAAACUGAUAUUUUGAAAGAGCUUGUAAAGAGAAGGUGACAGCCACCUGAAGAACUAGUGAAAAGUCACCUCUGACUUACAGAAUUGAAGUCAGCACUCAUCUGAUCACAGAUACCACCAGAAACAAAGAACUAAACCAGAACAACAACAAGGAAUCUUGGCCCAUCACAAGCAGUCGUGCUUUUGUAUGCCUCACCAGGCUAAGGGCAGAGCAAGCAGAGCCCUCUGUGCAGUGUUCACAUUUUAGAGGCCUAAAGGGGAGAGGAAGCAACCACAAGGAGGUGCUGUGAUGAGGCCUCACCCUCUCUGUCUCCAUUUUCUUCUCGUGGCAGAAGCAGAGGGUACUGAAGGUUGCCCAGAAGCCCAGCAUUUCAGGACUGGAGCUCUCCUCAG
Grammomys surdaster is the source of this 470-nucleotide long non-coding RNA. RefSeq lists it as uncharacterized. NCBI's taxonomy places the organism in Eukaryota, Metazoa, Chordata, Mammalia, Rodentia, Muridae. The record is from RefSeq and is a predicted model, not a curated record. The transcript is spliced from 4 exons.